RNAcentral lists this unclassified non-coding RNA (342 nucleotides) under Hevea brasiliensis (rubber tree). The record is from RNAcentral. Lineage: Eukaryota; Viridiplantae; Streptophyta; Magnoliopsida; Malpighiales; Euphorbiaceae.
GGGGAAUUAGACAUAAUAAAUGUGAUUACAAAUACCCAAUGCUGAUUAAUUUUGAGUAGGAAAAUCCCUUGUAUGCUACAUUUAUUUUUGGAGAAAAGAAAAUAUGCAAAUUAAUUUACCUUUGUUCUUGUUUGCUUUUUGCGAUUUGAGACUGCAUUUGUUAGGUUUUUCGUGUUGCAUAAUCUUUCAUUAAAAGAUGUUUUUGUGCUUAUUGUAUAUUAGAAGGACGCACCCAGGUUGAUUAUGAUAUAGUUGUUCUCAGUGAUCAUGUGAAUAAACUUCUUUGUUAAGGAUUCAUGCUUAUGUUUUAGGGCUUUGACGUAAUGUAACUGUGAAUAGAAU